Long non-coding RNA from Xiphophorus couchianus (Monterrey platyfish), 526 nucleotides. RefSeq lists it as uncharacterized. The transcript is spliced from 3 exons. The record is from RefSeq and is a predicted model, not a curated record. Lineage: Eukaryota; Metazoa; Chordata; Actinopteri; Cyprinodontiformes; Poeciliidae.
UCCUUCGGAUCAUGUAAGAUGCAGGCAACACACAUACAUACUUUUUUGUAUAUGCCAUAUAUAUUAUACAUAGUGCACGCAUACACAUAUACAAAUAAGGAGCUUUAUAUAUAUAAAUUUUUCCCCUUGUUUGAUGGUUGAGUCAUACUAAUAGUUUUUGUUCACAACAUCAGACAGACGACAAAUCUCAGAUUACAGAGUUGGAGGAUCACAUCAAAAAGUUAGAGGAAAUAAUUGGAAAGAAGGAUAAGGAAAUAAAGAGACUUCGAAGGGCAAAUUUACUACUACAAGACGGACUGUCAGACACAAUAUAUAAAUGUGUCAAGGAAGCAGUCAAGGCUGUCCAGCAGUCAUCCAGUUCUUCCAACCAAUUACAGUCUAAAGAAGGAGAGAGUGUGUCUUUGAAAAAUCAUACAGCAAACUCUGUGGGACUUGACUACACUCAGCGGUACAGCGGUUUCAAAAAAAUGACUAGAAACGUGAUAGACUCCCUCUUCCCUCUUGAAGAAAUGUCAACAUGUUCAGU